UUCCUUGAACCGCAUGGUUCAAGGAUGAAAGACGGUUUCGGCUGUCACUUACAGAUGGACCCGCGGCGCAUUAGCUAGUUGGUGGGGUAAUGGCUCACCAAGGCGACGAUGCGUAGCCGACCUGAGAGGGUGAUCGGCCACACUGGGACUGAGACACGGCCCAGACUCCUACGGGAGGCAGCAGUAGGGAAUCUUCCGCAAUGGACGAAAGUCUGACGGAGCAACGCCGCGUGAGUGAUGAAGGUUUUCGGAUCGUAAAGCUCUGUUGUUAGGGAAGAACAAGUGCGAGAGUAACUGCUCGCACCUUGACGGUACCUAACCAGAAAGCCACGGCUAACUACGUGCCAGCAGCCGCGGUAAUACGUAUGUGGCAAGCGUUGUCCGGAAUUAUUGGGCGUAAAGGGCUCGCAGGCGGUUUCUUAAGUCUGAUGUGAAAGCCCCCGGCUCAACCCGGGGAGGGUCAUUGGAAACUGGGAAACUUGAGUGCAGAGGAGGAGAGUGGUAUUCCACGUGUAGCGGUGAAAUGCGUAGAGAUGGUGGAGGAACACCAGUGGGCGAAGGCGACUUCCUCUGGUCUUGUAACUGACCGCU
This 591-nucleotide ribosomal RNA is filed under the name Bacillus australimaris. RNAcentral's name for it is "bacterial SSU rRNA". It matches the Rfam family "Bacterial small subunit ribosomal RNA", at positions 173 to 747 of the family's 1533-position model. Lineage: Bacteria; Bacillati; Bacillota; Bacilli; Caryophanales; Bacillaceae. The record is from RNAcentral.